RNAcentral lists this long non-coding RNA (336 nucleotides) under Phoenix dactylifera (date palm). RNAcentral describes it as "long non-coding RNA (PDAC_LNC003142)". The record is from RNAcentral. Lineage: Eukaryota; Viridiplantae; Streptophyta; Magnoliopsida; Arecales; Arecaceae.
AUGGGUGGUCGGUGUUUUUUCUUGUAAUAUGGCUUUAAUGUAGAUAACUUCUCAAGUCUCUCUCUCUGCCUUACCUGAGUCUCUUAAAUAUCAAAAGGAAAUGGAUUGGUUUCUUCUUGGUCUUCCCUUUCUUUAUUGCCAUGUCUAUUGCUUUGGCCCCUCCAAAUGGUAUAUACGUCAGAGCCACUGAUCGGAUUCAAUAGCAAAUAUAAGUGUAGGGUGAUGAACUUGUCUGCUUAUGCUUACCACUAUGGUUCAGUUUCCCAUCCCUUUCCUAUGAGGACUUUUCUUAAUGGGCAUGAUUGGUGUGGAUGUCCCCACCACCAGCCUCCCCUC